RNAcentral lists this ribosomal RNA (1330 nucleotides) under Allothereua serrulata. RNAcentral describes it as "eukaryotic LSU rRNA". It matches the Rfam family "Eukaryotic large subunit ribosomal RNA", at positions 666 to 1897 of the family's 3401-position model. Lineage: Eukaryota; Metazoa; Arthropoda; Chilopoda; Scutigeromorpha; Scutigeridae. The record is from RNAcentral.
CCAAGGAGUCUAACAUGUGUGCGAGUCGUAGGGUGCGUACGAAACCCGAAGGCAAAGUGAAAGCACGGGCCAAUUCAUUGGCCGAGGCGGGAUCCGUCCGUUUCCCCUCGCGGGAAUACGGGCGGCGCACCGCCGGCCCGUCUCGACCGCAGCGUCGGUGAGGCGGAGCAAGAGCAGACACGUUGGGACCCGAAAGAUGGUGAACUAUUCCUAGGCAGGACGAAGCCAGAGGAAACUCUGGUGGAGGUCCGUAGCGUUUCUGACGUGCAAAUCGAUCGUCAGACCUGGGUAUAGGGGCGAAAGACUAAUCGAACCAUCUAGUAGCUGGUUCCCUCCGAAGUUUCCCUCAGGAUAGCUGGCUCUCGAGCGAAACACAGUCUCAUCCGGUAAAGCGAAUGAUUAGAGGCCUUGGGGCCGAAACGACCUCAACCUAUUCUCAAACUUUCAAUGGGUGAGAAGUCCGGCUUGCUCGACUGAAGCCCGGACGUCGGAUGCGAGUGCCCAGUGGGCCACUUUUGGUAAGCAGAACUGGCGCUGUGGGAUGAACCAAACGCCGGGUUACGGCGCCCAAUGCGACGCUCAUCAGACACCAUGAAAGGUGUUGGUUGCUAUAGACAGCAGGACGGUGGCCAUGGAAGUCGGAAUCCGCUAAGGAGUGUGUAACAACUCACCUGCCGAAGCAACUAGCCCUGAAAAUGGAUGGCGCUCAAGCGUCGAGCCUAUACCCGGCCGCCGGGGCAGAGCCGAUUUCUAAAAGCAGCAGACGCCCCGGCGAGUAGGAGGGUCGCGGCGGCGAGCGGAAAAGGGUCGGGCGCAGGCCCGCCUGGAGCCGCCGCCGGUGCAGAUCUUGGUGGUAGUAGCAAAUACUCGAGUGAGAACCUUGAGGACUGAUGUGGAGAAGGGUUCCAUGUGAACAGCAGUUGAACAUGGGUCAGUCGGCCCUAAGGAAUAGGGAAAUCCCGUUCCGAAUUUUGGGUUUAUAUUCUAAGAAAAUAUCCCAAACUCAACCGAAAGGGAAUCGGGUUAAUAUUCCCGAACCCGGACACGGAGAUCGGGCCUUCAUAGGUCCAGUGCGGUGACGCAAACGCCCUCGGAGACGUCGGCGGGAGUCCCGGGAAGAGUUGUCUUUUCUUUGUAAGGAACGGAAUCCCUGGAAUCGGUUCGCCCGGAGAUAGGGAUGUGGUUUCCGUAAAGCACCGCGCCUCCUGCGGUGUCCGGACAGCUCUCGUCGGCCCUUGAAAAUCCGAGGAAGGCAGUGCGAUUUUCGUGCCGGGCCGUACCCAUAUCCGCAGCAGGUCUCCAAGGUGAACAGCCUCUAGUCGAUAGAUCA